Equus quagga is the source of this 3564-nucleotide long non-coding RNA. RefSeq lists it as uncharacterized. Lineage: Eukaryota; Metazoa; Chordata; Mammalia; Perissodactyla; Equidae. The record is from RefSeq and is a predicted model, not a curated record. The transcript is spliced from 3 exons.
UUGGCGGAGGUCAGGAUGAAGUAUCAUUUGGAGGGCUGACCUGGAGGCGGGGCAGAGAGAUCCGUUUCUCAAGACGUUUGUCUGGAGUUCAGGGGCUCCCAGGUUUCACUCUGGCCUGAACCAAAAGAUAGAGGCUGGAGAAUUCAGGAGAACCUUGCUUCCUGGCGGUCCUUGCAGGGGGUGGGAGCACAGGCCGGCCCAGGAGAAAUGUUCACCUACCUGAGUCCCAUGGACAUUAUAGGCCAGUUUAGAGAUGAUGCAACCGAGGUUGAGCAGCUGCCUGAGGUCGCAGAUGGCGAGCGGUGGCACCCGGAUCAGAGCGCAGGCACGCUGCUCCGACGCUGGCAUGUCAGCCAUCAAGCAGUUCAACUUUCUCUUCAGUCUGAGCAUUUCCAGAGCCCAACAGCCCUGUGGACUUCUGUUCCCAUGACCCUUCAUCUGUGGACUGAGUGAACACAGAGUCUGGAGGACGGAGCAAAGUAUUUCUCUGUUCCUGUGCAGUUUCCUCUUGGAUGGGAAUGAGAAUGGAAGGAGCAAGUGGAUGAGACAGAGACAGAGGACCCCAAACGGCUGUACCUCACCCUGCUAGCUGAAACUCGAAUCCUCAAAAUCUCCUUAUGUUCAGCAGAAAUUCCUUUCCUAUGGAUCAAGUCUGCACUUUGAAACCCACAGAGAAGGGACCAUCUCUUUCCAAUGACAACCCUUAGGCAUCUGUUCUACAGGAGAAAAAUCCCUAUUUCCUUUAUACAUAUGUUCAUUCUAGGAUGCCAGUUUCCAGGCCCCCAUCAUCCUGAUCAUUCUGCUCUGAUUCACUCAAGCUUGCCAAUAUACUUUUUAAAAUAUGGCAGUAGGAAUUGAAAGUGUUUUUCUCUCGGGAAAGAGUAGUUAUGCUGCAUAUAUAAUGUCUGAACAAGGCAGAGGGAAAGAGAAAUGAUUUUUAAGUGAUUUUAAGGAAGUGAGCUUGUAGAUUGGCAAGAUGGUACUGAGGAUGGCAUUGGUGGUGUUGAAAACCUGGGCAUAGUGCUUCAGAUGUAAGAUGACUUGGGGUUGGCUAUGUUUCCUAGUGGGAAACAGGAAAUACAGACCUGGAGAGAGAGUAAGAGAUUAGGACCCAAGGUAUAGUCUGGAAAGUCUUCAGCCUAGAUGUAGACGGUGGUAGCUAACCCAUUGAGGAAGGGAGAAACUCCCCUUUGUGGAGUGCCAGGAUGACCGGGCUGUGCCAGAUGUUUUUCUGGUGUUAAUAUCUAAUCUUCACAAUUUUGUAUGGUAGAAAUUACUGCCCUCAUGAGGAGGAUGAGGCCAAUAAAGGUUAAGUAACUUGCCGAGCGCCACCCAAACACUAAGUGAAAUGGCUGGGAUUCCAACUCAGGUGAGUUCUCAGGGAGUGUGACGAAAGCCUCAAGAACGUGUUCCCAAACCAGUGGUGUCAACUGUGAAUCACUGAGGAGCACUGGCACGUAAAGGUUUCCCAGGCGGUCUGUAGCCUGAGUGCAGAUUUAGUGUUUAUGAAAUAAAGUCUACAGUUUGCUGGGAGGUCGGGUAGCCCAGAACUUAGUGGUUAGGGACACGGGCUUUAGAGAGACCUGGCUUCAAACUGUAGCUUUGCCCCUUGCUUGUUGCGUGUUCAUGAGAAAAUGUCUCCACCUUUCUACCCUUAGUUUCUUUGUCGAUGACAUGUUAAUGAUAGCAACUUUGUGGCAUUGUUACAAGGACUGAAUGAGAUCAUGUUUGUAGUGGGUCUAUUCAUAUGUCUAUGUGAGUAAAAUGUAUGUAAAGCAUAUUUAUAUAUGAGGAGUGCUUAAGUAAUAAGCAUUCCACAAAGGUUAGCUAUUUCUUCCUGUGUAAAUUAUUCAUUUGUCCCUGGCACUUGACAUCAAGCCUCUUUUUAAAAUGGAGAAUGAGUAUGGUGGAUUGUAAUGUGUCACCUUGGCUAGGUUCCGUUACUUUUCCCAAAAUUCUUUUCCCUGUGUGUUUCAGGUUAGACUGGUCCAUGAGACAUUCUUGUGGGAGACUGUGGGCUGAAGUGAGGCAACGGCCAUUUUGUAGCUCUCGCACAUUGUCAUUUAUUUGCUGGCUCACCUUACUGGUGUGAGGCAGCAGCCAGGCCUACAACUGCCCUCAUCUUCCCCCGGCUCCUCCUCCAGCAUCUCUGGCUUCUGGGCCAGGCACGUGUGUUUAGCAAUCUGAUGAAGGGUCCCAGCUUCUGCGGGACGUCAGUACCGUGAAAGUCAGAGGCAACAGGAAUGACACAAUUUCAUUGCAUCCUAGUGCGCCAGUUUGUGCUUGCUUUCUUCCCACUUCAGAUGCAGCUUCUCUUCCCAACUGCCUGCCUCUGACUAUAAAUACCUCCUAGUUAGGGUUGCCAGAUUUAGCAAAUAAAAAUACAGGAUGCUCAGUCAAAUGAAAGUGUCAGAUAAAUAAUUUCCUGGUGUGUGUUCAUCUGGAAUUCAAAUUUGACGGGGCAUCCUGUUUUUUGGGUUUUGUUUGCUAAUUCUGGCAACCCUAAGAGUGGGAGAGUAAGUGACUAGAGAAAGGUGAGAUUGCUGGGCAGAACCCAGUUGAGGAUAGUGACUGUGAGGGUAACGACACCAAUAAUACCCAGCUGAGUACUUUUCUUCAGCAGGGCUCAGCUGCCCCGGUGCAAGCAAGGCCUGGAUAAUCGGGUUCCUCCAGAGUUGGGGUUUUACCAGGUGGAUGCUGGUAAGCAGCACGAGAGAGUUUACGGCAGUGGUUUGCAAAAUUGCAUUUGCAACAGCGUCACAUAGAGGACUCAUUAGCACACAGAUUGUAGGGCCCCAUCCCUAGAGUUUUUGAAUUUAUUGGUCCAGGGCUGGGGGGUAGCAAGAAUGUGCAAUUUCUAAUGAGUGCAGCUGAUCCAAGGACCACAUUUUGAGACCCACUGGAGUAGGCUGAAAUGAGGGACCAUGGGACCUAAUGUAGAGAAGGGGGGGAGUCAGGAUGGAGGAGGCUGAUGGCACAGAGGGGAUGAGAAAGGCAGUCCACGUCCCUUGCCUUCACGGUGAGCGGAUGUGGUGCCGCCUUCCCAGGCGUAGGUUGUUCUGCCCCUUCAAUCUUUUCUCUCCUCUGUAGUAAUUUUGGACUAUGUAACACCCCGGUCCUUCCUCUAAUACUGGCAUCUGCUUCCCUUUUCAUGGGGGAAGUUUUUGAGAACUCUGGUGUCAUGACACUGGUGUCCAGUCUGAUCCAUGAGAAGCUGGGCAUUAAAGCAAACGCACUGACGGGGGCGACAUCGCCACGAGGGUGCAGAGGUGAUGGUAACAAGGCCCUGACUGGCAAUAACUGCUCUGUGGAAAGCUUCCAAGUUAACUAGUUUUUCUUCCCUCUGAGAAGGAGUUUAGGCGUUAGGAAAUGGCAAAGAAGGAAAGCAGGGGGAAAGGAGAAAAGCAGCCAAGAUCUUGGGUCCAGGUGAAGCUUUCCAUUGCCCAGCCCUUUCUUGAUUUUUAGUUAAGUCAUAGAAUAACACAUUUUACCCAAUUCUCCAUGGAAUAUGGCCUUAAAUGGAAAGGAUCUUGACUUCAUUAAGUGUGUACAAUAUGUCAGAUG